This 301-nucleotide ribosomal RNA is filed under the name uncultured bacterium. RNAcentral's name for it is "partial 16S ribosomal RNA". It matches the Rfam family "Bacterial small subunit ribosomal RNA", at positions 509 to 807 of the family's 1533-position model. The record is from RNAcentral.
CAGUAGCCACGGGAAUACAGAGGAUGCAAGCGUUGUCCGGAAUGGUUGGGCGUAAAGCGUCUGUAGGUGGCUUUUCAAGUCCGCCGUCAAAUCCCAGGGCUCAACCCUGGACAGGCGGUGGAAACUACCAAGCUAGAGUACGGUAGGGGCAGAGGGAAUUUCCGGUGGAGCGGUGAAAUGCGUUGAGAUCGAAAAGAACACCAACGACGAAAGCGCUCUGCUGGGUCGACACCGACACUGAGAGACGAAAGCUAGGGGAGCAAAUGGGAUUAGAGACCCCCGUAGUCCCUGUCUCUUAUAC